Molecule: long non-coding RNA, 587 nt
Organism: Ananas comosus (pineapple)
Lineage: Eukaryota; Viridiplantae; Streptophyta; Magnoliopsida; Poales; Bromeliaceae
Exons: 3
Source: RefSeq, a predicted model, not a curated record
AACAGCUCUCUCUCUCUUUCUCUUGUAACCCCUCCAUCAAAAGAGGAAAUAUUGGAGAUUUUGGUAGCUUCAAAUUGGAGAAGUUUGGAAGAACUCUCUAAUGGUGGAUCAAGCUUCUUGACUAUUGUGACUAAGGAGACAACUCCGAUUUGGAUUACGACAAGAUUACAACGUCCGAUUAGAGGAAUUUGAGAAAUUUCAUUCAUUAGGCUUGAAGCGUGCCGAAUCGACAUCAGAGAGCCAAUUGCUUUAACAUCCUAGCAAUUGGUAAUUAACUAAAGUGGAUGGUGCUCUUUGAAAUGAGCCAACUAUAAGCGAAGUGGCAUCAAACCGAGGCGUGGGUGUUGCGUCUUAGAUUGCAAGGUCACCAAGUGUAGGUUACCCAUGUUCAAGUAAAAGAAAAGAUUGUAAAGGUAUUUGGAACGAAAAUGUAAUUGCAAACAAAUAUUGUAUUUUAAGGAAAUGACAUGUACCAAAUGUUAUAUAUCUAAGUUGGAAAAUAUAUGUAUAAAUGUGAUUGUUCCAAUAUUGUAAUAGUUAGAUUUACAAACUCGCUCUUGUGAUAUGCCCUCAUACAGAACUGUGUU